Molecule: long non-coding RNA, 1674 nt
Organism: Bos taurus (domestic cattle)
Lineage: Eukaryota; Metazoa; Chordata; Mammalia; Artiodactyla; Bovidae
Source: Ensembl
ACUCCAAGGCCUUGCAGCUCGAAUCUUCUAGACGGGGGAAGGCGCCUCGCCCUUCCGGAAGCAUUCUGCUUCUCAACGCCCUGACCUUUCAUGUUAGCAGGUGGUGGACAGCAGCAGGGGAACUGAGUGCUCAGGUAGGGCUCUUCUCACCCCAAUUAAGAAGGAGGCAGAAUGGCAAUUUAAGUGUCAUUGAGUGGAAAUAUCAGAAGUACAUAGGGUACUGAGAACUUCGUAGACAGAAAGAAAAGGAAAAGUAGAAGAAGAUCUGAGAAGAGCCUUGAAAAUGAAGAUGAAGUUAAAAUGAGGCUCUAAGAGUGGGCCUUAAUCCAAUGUCACUGGUGACUGUGUGAGAAGAAGAAAUUUGGACAUACAAAGGGACACCAGAAGUAUCUGCUGCAAGAAAAGACCACAUGAAGACACCAUGAAAAGACAGGCAUCUGCAGCCAUUAGGAAAGGCUUCAGAAGAAACCAAACCAAUUGAUGGUUCAGUCGCUCAGUCGUGUCCGACUCUCUGCAACCCCAUGGACUGCAGCACGCCAGGGCUUCCCUGUCCAUCACCAACUCCCGGAGCUUGCUCAAACUCAUGUCCAUCGAGUUGGUGAUGCCAUCCAACCAUCUCAUCCUCAACCAAUUGACACCUUGACCUUAAACUUCCCACCGCUGCAACUGUGAGAAAGUAAAUUCUGUUUUUUAAGCCAUUAGUCUGUGGUAUUUGUUAUGGCAGUUCUAGCAAGCUAAUGUAGCCUCUUGUAGCAAGUACCGGGGACUUCCCUGGUGGUCCAGCAGCUAAGACUCUGCUCUCAAUGCAGGGGGACUGGGUUCAACCCCUGGUUGGGGAACUGGAUCCUGCAUGCUGCAACUAACGGUUCGUAUGCCACAACUAAGAGUUUGUAUUCCACAACUAAAGAUCCUGAAUGUUGCAAUGAAGAUCAAAGAUCCUAGGUGCUGCAACUAAGACCCAGUGCAGCCAAAUUAAAAAAAGAAAAGUACUGAUACUUUAAUGCCCAAAUAUGUUCAAGUCAGAGCAAAUGUAUGAAAUAGUUCUGCAGUAUGCUGACUAAAGUACAGUUGGCCCUUGAACAACACCGGGUUUAGGAGAACUGACCCUCUGUGUAGCUGAAAGUCCAAAUAUAAUUUAUAGUUGGUCCUUCAUAUCUGUGGUGCCACACCUCAGAUCUUGUAAUACUAUUGUUAUUUACUAUUGAUAAAAAAUUCACCCAUAAGUGUACUAGUACAGUUCAAACCCAUGUUGUUCAAGGGUCAACUCUAGAUAAGAAUGGUCAUGGGCCAGAGAUCAGCUAAGGGGUUUGAGCUAUUCUGUUCCCCACAGCAACUGUAAGGGUUGAAGUUAUCAAUAUGUCAUGCACAUCUGUAACUCAUUUGUGAUACUUCAUCUGGGAAGCUCUUUUCCAAAGGAUACAUUUUAGGAAGAAGUAAAAUGAUCUCAUAAGGAAUGUCUUAUGAUCUCAUAAGGAAUUCACAGGAGAAAUUUCUUUCUAUAAUAUAUAUACUCUGAGCCCCAGGCAGAGUUUCAGAAUGGCUAUCUAAAAAAAAAAAGUAUUAAACAGAAGGACGCUACCUGAUGACUUCUCACGGAGCCAAGCUCCAACUUCUCUUACCACAGUUACCUUCCAGCUAUACUUUUUCUGCUUCUGCAUUUGGAUUCCAGUGAGU